AGGAUGACCCACCUGAGUUGCUCCCAACCCAGGGCAGAGGCUCUGGUGGGAGCUUGAAGACAUUUGGAAAUGAAACCAAAGAGUCUGUGGAACGUGGAUUCCAGCCCUGGGCCUGUACCGAGAAGGCCAGAUCACGAAGGGCAAUGGUCACUCCUUGAAUUUGCAAGGAUGUGUCAUUGCGAGUGUUUUGUACGCACAUUUCUUUCAUUUGAUUGGCAUCUACCUGGUGGAAGAUAAGUUAGAGGAGAAUGUCGUGAGGACAUUCAUUCUGUUCCCUUGGCUUCAGACCUGGGUGUGUCACUAGGCCUUUGAGUUCUUGAGCCUCAGUUUCCUUAUCUGUAAACGGCUAGUGUGGAGGAGGUGCUGUAACCUGGCAUACAGAAGUGGCCCAGUAAGUGGUGACUGACUGUCUUCAGCCUUCACACGUUUUAAUAAAGCCCUUUAGGUGCUGGGCCUGAGGAGAAAUGCUACGAUGUACCAGACGUGGUUUUUCUCACGUGUAAAAUAUAGUUAGUUGGUGAAUGGGGCACUGGCAGACGUGCUCGCAGGGUGCAACGGGAAGGUUUUGUGGAGAGGGCAUUUGCUUUGAGUUGUGAACAAAGAGCUGGAAAAGGUACCCAGGUGAGGUCUGGUGGGUCAGGACCCGGGGGUGUGUGGAGGAGGAGUGGGAGGUGAGGCCAGAGAAAGCAGCAAGAGUAAGGGUGGGCUUUGUAUCAGGCUAGGCCAUACGUCUUCAUCCCUUAAUGGGUUCUAAUCUCGGUUCUAUUACUGCCUGACAAAUUAUCUCCAAAUUUAGCAGAUUAAAAUAGCCGUACACUUUAAUCAUCUCACAUUUCCGAGGGUCAGGAAUUUGGGAGCAACUUAGGAGGGUGAUUCUGGCUGAGAGAGUCU
RNAcentral lists this long non-coding RNA (891 nucleotides) under Marmota monax (woodchuck). The record is from RNAcentral. Lineage: Eukaryota; Metazoa; Chordata; Mammalia; Rodentia; Sciuridae.